GUGGGGAAUAUUGCACAAUGGGCGGAAGCCUGAUGCAGCGACGCCGCGUGAGGGAUGACGGCCUUCGGGUUGUAAACCUCUUUCAGCAGGGACGAAGCGUAAGUGACGGUACCUGCAGAAGAAGCGCCGGCCAACUACGUGCCAGCAGCCGCGGUAAGACGUAGGGCGCGAGCGUUGUCCGGAUUUAUUGGGCGUAAAGAGCUCGUAGGCGGCUUGUCGCGUCGACCGUGAAAACUUGGGGCUCAACCCCAAGCCUGCGGUCGAUACGGGCAGGCUAGAGUUCGGUAGGGGAGACUGGAAUUCCUGGUGUAGCGGUGAAAUGCGCAGAUAUCAGGAGGAACACCGGUGGCGAAGGCGGGUCUCUGGGCCGAUACUGACGCUGAGGAGCGAAAGCGUGGGGAGCGAACAGGAUUAGAUACCCUAGUAGUCC
Molecule: ribosomal RNA, 430 nt
Filed under: uncultured bacterium
Lineage: Bacteria
Description: bacterial SSU rRNA
Rfam family: Bacterial small subunit ribosomal RNA
Source: RNAcentral